This 224-nucleotide long non-coding RNA is filed under the name Homo sapiens (human). RNAcentral describes it as "non-protein coding LINC01135:16". The record is from RNAcentral. Lineage: Eukaryota; Metazoa; Chordata; Mammalia; Primates; Hominidae.
AAGCCCAGAAGGCGGCGGACACUCGCAUAAAGUCACGCAGUAGUACUCGGAGCCCGGGGUAGAACCUGGACUUCAAAUCUCUGCACUCCCGGCCGGGUGGUGGGCGCAUAUCCUGGGUAGCCUCUAGGAAGCGCUAGACACAUAGGGAUCCAGUGAGCAGGACAGCAAAACGGGCCUUGGUGUAACUUCUGGAGAAACAGGGACAAGUGGAAGGAAGGUGGCAG